Molecule: ribosomal RNA, 429 nt
Filed under: Bacteroidota bacterium
Lineage: Bacteria; Pseudomonadati; Bacteroidota
Description: Bacteroidetes bacterium partial 16S ribosomal RNA
Rfam family: Bacterial small subunit ribosomal RNA
Source: RNAcentral
UAGGGAAUCUUUCGCAAUGGACGCAAGUCUGACGGAGCAACGCCGCGUGAGUGAAGAAGGAUUUCGGUUCGUAAAACUCUGUUGUUAGAGAAGAACAGCGCAUAGAGUAACUGUUAUGCGUGUGACGGUAUCUAACCAGAAAGCCACGGCUAACUACGUGCCAGCAGCCGCGGUAAUACGUAGGUGGCAAGCGUUGUCCGGAUUUAUUGGGCGUAAAGCGAGCGCAGGCGGUCAAUUAAGUCUGAUGUGAAAGCCCCCGGCUCAACCGGGGAGGGUCAUUGGAAACGGGUUGACUUGAGUGCAGAAGGGGAGAGGGGAUUUCCAUGUGUAGCGGUGAAAUGCGUAGAUAUAGGAAGGAACACCAGUGGCGAGGGGGACUCUCUGGUCUGUAACUGACGCGGGGGUUCGAAAGCGUGGGUAGAAAACAGG